This 364-nucleotide ribosomal RNA is filed under the name Staphylococcus pseudintermedius. RNAcentral describes it as "partial 23S ribosomal RNA". It matches the Rfam family "Bacterial large subunit ribosomal RNA", at positions 1 to 357 of the family's 2925-position model. Lineage: Bacteria; Bacillati; Bacillota; Bacilli; Caryophanales; Staphylococcaceae. The record is from RNAcentral.
AGAUUAAGUUAUUAAGGGCGCACGGUGGAUGCCUUGGCACUAGAAGCCGACGAAGGACGUUACUAACGACGAUAUGCUUUGGGGAGCUGUAAGUAAGCUUUGAUCCAGAGAUUUCCGAAUGGGGAAACCCAGCACGAGUUAUGUCGUGUUAUCUGCAUGUGAAUACAUAGCAUGCAAGAAGGCAGACCCGGAGAACUGAAACAUCUUAGUACCCGGAGGAAGAGAAAGAAAAAUCGAUUCCCUGAGUAGCGGCGAGCGAAACGGGAAGAGCCCAAACCAAUAAGCUUGCUUAUUGGGGUUGUAGGACACUCUGCACGGAGUUACAAAAGAAUUUGUUAGACGAAUAACCUGGAAAGGUUAAUCA